Long non-coding RNA from Daphnia magna, 471 nucleotides. RefSeq lists it as uncharacterized. The transcript is spliced from 3 exons. The record is from RefSeq and is a predicted model, not a curated record. NCBI's taxonomy places the organism in Eukaryota, Metazoa, Arthropoda, Branchiopoda, Diplostraca, Daphniidae.
UAACUCCGUAGAAUUUGUAUGUGUACGUCAGCUGUCACUUCAGCUGUUUUAUUUCGCGUGGCUUCGGACUGAGGAUGGAUGGUUAAACGAACGGAUCUGUUCUUGAAAUUUCACCACCGAUUCCGUAUGUUUUAGCUGCGUCUUGUGAAUUCGAUCAAUGCAGAGUUGUUCAAGAGGAGCAUGGUUUGGCUUUGCUAGCACGUUUUUCAUCUCCGUUAGUCUAAUACACCCAUUUUGUACCAAAGGUACAAAACGUCUUCGGGAUGUACCUGAUGUACUAUGGUGGCCAAAGAAUCAUUCAGUGACUUGGUUCAAUCCAGGACUUGGUUUUUUCGAAAGUGAUUUACAGUUUUAAUUUGCAGAGAUCCUCAAGGUACCUGAGGUGUUGGAUUGGCGUUGGAGUAACUUGGUGACAGAAUGGAAUGCCACCGAUGUUAUGUUGUCAGUGUUAAUAAAACAUAUCCAGUAUCA